RNAcentral lists this ribosomal RNA (924 nucleotides) under Clostridioides difficile. RNAcentral describes it as "bacterial LSU rRNA". It matches the Rfam family "Bacterial large subunit ribosomal RNA", at positions 1897 to 2819 of the family's 2925-position model. The record is from RNAcentral. Lineage: Bacteria; Bacillati; Bacillota; Clostridia; Peptostreptococcales; Peptostreptococcaceae.
AAUCGAAGCAGUGAACUUAAGCCCCAGUAAACGGCGGCCGUAACUAUAACGGUCCUAAGGUAGCGAAAUUCCUUGUCGGGUAAGUUCCGACCCGCACGAAAGGCGUAACGAUUUGGGCACUGUCUCAACAACAGACUCGGUGAAAUUGUAAUUCCGGUGAAGAUGCCGGAUACCUGCGACAGGACGGAAAGACCCCAUGGAGCUUUACUGUAGCUUGACAUUGGGUCUUGGUACUACAUGUACAGGAUAGGUGGGAGGCUUUGAAACCAGGACGCCAGUUUUGGCGGAGCCAUCCUUGGGAUACCACCCUUGUAGUACUGGGACUCUAACCAUAGGCCAUGAAUCUGGUCUUGGGACACUGUCAGGUGGGCAGUUUGACUGGGGCGGUCGCCUCCCAAAAGGUAACGGAGGCGCUCAAAGGUUCUCUCAGUACGGUCGGAAAUCGUACGUAGAGGGUAAAGGCAAAAGAGAGCUUGAUUGCAAGACAUACAGGUCGAGCAAGGAUGAAAAUCGGACGUAGUGAUCCGGUGGUUCUGCGUGGAAGGGCCAUCGCUCAACGGAUAAAAGCUACCCUGGGGAUAACAGGCUUAUCUCCCCCAAGAGUCCACAUCGACGGGGAGGUUUGGCACCUCGAUGUCGGCUCAUCACAUCCUGGGGCUGUAGUAGGUCCCAAGGGUUGGGCUGUUCGCCCAUUAAAGUGGUACGCGAGCUGGGUUCAGAACGUCGUGAGACAGUUCGGUCCCUAUCCGUCGCAGGCGUAGGAAAUUUGAGAAGACCUGUCCUUAGUACGAGAGGACCGGGAUGGACGUACCUCUGGUGUACCAGUUGUCCUGCCAAGGGCAUGGCUGGGUAGCUAUGUACGGAAUGGAUAAGCGCUGAAAGCAUCUAAGCGCGAAGCCAACUUCAAGAUAAGAUUUCCCACCG